RNAcentral lists this ribosomal RNA (1428 nucleotides) under uncultured Bordetella sp. RNAcentral describes it as "partial 16S-23S ribosomal RNA intergenic spacer". It matches the Rfam family "Bacterial small subunit ribosomal RNA". The record is from RNAcentral. Lineage: Bacteria; Pseudomonadati; Pseudomonadota; Betaproteobacteria; Burkholderiales; Alcaligenaceae.
AGUCGAACGGCAGCACGGACUUCGGUCUGGUGGCGAGUGGCGAACGGGUGAGUAAUGUAUCGGAACGUGCCUAGUAGCGGGGGAUAACUACGCGAAAGCGUAGCUAAUACCGCAUACGCCCUUCCGGGGAAAGCGGGGACCUUCGGGCCUCGCACUAUUAGAGCGGCCGAUAUCGGAUUAGCUAGUUGGUGGGGUAACGGCUCACCAGGCGACGAUCCGUAGCUGGUUUGAGAGGACGACCAGCCACACUGGGACUGAGACACGGCAGACUCCUACGGGAGGCAGCAGUGGGAAUUUUGGACAAUGGGGGAAACCUGAUCCAGCCAUCCCGCGUGUGCGAUGAGGCCUUCGGGUUGUAAAGCACUUUUGGCAGGAAAACGGCACGGGAUAAUACCCCACGACCACAGCUGACAGUACCUGCAGAAUAAGCACCGGCUAACUACGUGCCAGCAGCGCGGUAAUACGUAGGGUGAAAGCGUUAAUCGGAAUUACUGGGCGUAAAGCGUGCGCCAGGCGGUUCGGAAAGAAAGAUGCUUGAAAUCCCAGAGCUUAACUUUGGAACUGCAUUUUUAACUACCGAGCUAGAGUGUCAGAGGGAGGUGGAAUUCCGCGUGUAGCAGUGAAAUGCGUAGAUAUGCACGGAGGAACACCGAUGGCGAAGGCAGCCUCCUGGGAUAACACUGACGCUCAUGCACGAAAGCGUGGGGAGCAAACAGGAUUAGAUACCCUGGUAAUUCACGCCCUAAACUGAUGUCCAACUAGCUGUUGUUGUUGGGGCCUUCGGGCCUUGGUAGCGCAGCUAACGCGUGAAGUUGACCGCCUGGGGAAGUACGGUCGCAAGAUUAAAACUCAAGAAAUUGACGGGGACCCGCACAAGCGGUGGAUGAUGUGGAUUAAUUCGAUGCAACGCGAAAAACCUUACCUACCCUUGACAUGUCUGGAAUCCCGAAGAGAUUUGGGAGUGCUCGCAAGAGAACCGGAACACAGGUGCUGCAUGGCUGUCGUCAGCUCGUGUCGUGAGAUGUUGGGUUAAGUCCCGCAACGAGCGCAACCCUUGUCAUUAGUUGCUACGAAGGGGCAUAAUGAGACUGCGGUGACAAACCGGAGGAAGGUGGGGAUGACGUCAAGUCCUCAUGGCCCUUAUGGGUAGGGCUUCACACGUCAUACAAUGGUCGGGACAGAGGGUCGCCAACCCGCGAGGGGGGCCAAUCCAGGAAACCCGAUCGUAGUCCGGAUCACAGUCUGCAACUCGACUGCGUGAAGUCGAAUCGCUAGUAAUCGCGGAUCAGCAUGUCGCGGUGGUACGUUCGGGUCUUGUACACCGCCCGUCACACCAUGGGAGUGGGUUUACCAGAAGUAGUUAGCCUAACCGUAAGGAGGGCGAUUUCACGGUAAGUUCAUGACUGGGGUGAAGUCGUAACAAGGUAG